RNAcentral lists this long non-coding RNA (471 nucleotides) under Ananas comosus (pineapple). RNAcentral describes it as "long non-coding RNA (ACOM_LNC040395)". The record is from RNAcentral. Lineage: Eukaryota; Viridiplantae; Streptophyta; Magnoliopsida; Poales; Bromeliaceae.
AUUGGGGGGCAUUACAAAUUUAAAAUUUAAUUUUGAAUAUUAUGUGUUGACAGGUAUUAUGUUUGAUAAGAAAAAAUAUUUGAAAAAAUGUGUGGAUAGGAAAUAAAUUUAAUUUUACGUAUUACGUGAUUGGCGGAGGUAUUACGUGAUUGGCGGGUAUUAAGUUAGAUAAGAGAUAAAUUUAGUUUUACGUAUUAAAUUAUUGGUGGGUAGAAAAAAAAAUUUAAGAAACGCGGCGUACAUAAGAGAUAACGGAUAUGGAGGGUAUUUUUGUCAACAAAAAUGACAGAUACUUUUAUUUUUAUUCGUUGGAUGAGAUCCAAUGGCGAAAACUUAAAAUCUAUAUUUAAGAAUAAAUUAUUAUUUAAAGAUUUAUUUAAAAUGGAUGGUUGAAAAUUACUAGACAUGACAAUAUUAGUAAAAAUGAUAGAGACAUUUUUGAAAAGAAAAAAAAUUCAAAACUCACGCUUU